RNAcentral lists this ribosomal RNA (500 nucleotides) under uncultured bacterium. RNAcentral's name for it is "partial 16S ribosomal RNA". It matches the Rfam family "Bacterial small subunit ribosomal RNA", at positions 30 to 523 of the family's 1533-position model. The record is from RNAcentral.
AUUGAACGCUGGCGGAAUGCUUUACACAUGCAAGUCGAACGGCAGCACGGGGGCAACCCUGGUGGCGAGUGGCGAACGGGUGAGUAAUACAUCGGAACGUGCCCAGUCGUGGGGGAUAACGUAGCGAAAGUUACGCUAAUACCGCAUACGAUCUACGGAUGAAAGCGGGGGACCGUAAGGCCUCGCGCGAUUGGAGCGGCCGAUGGCAGAUUAGGUAGUUGGUGAGGUAAAGGCUUACCAAGCCGACGAUCUGUAGCUGGUCUGAGCUGACGACCAGCCACACUGGGACUGGGACACGGCCCAGACUCCUACGGGAGGCGGCAGUGGGGAAUUUUGGACAAUGGGCGCAAGCCUGAUCCAGCCAUUCCGCGUGCAGGACGAAGGCCUUCGGGUUGUAAACUGCUUUUGUACGGAACGAAAAGGCUCUGGUUAAUACCUGGGGCUCAUGACGGUACCGUAAGAAUAAGCACCGGCUAACUACGUGCCAGCCGCCGCCGUAA